CAUUAAGAAGCUAUGAACCAGCAUUAGCCUUUUAAGCUAAAGAAAGAGGACUACUCCCCUCCUUAAUGA
This 69-nucleotide transfer RNA is filed under the name Chlorodrepanis flava. Its description in RNAcentral is "Hemignathus flavus tRNA-Lys". Lineage: Eukaryota; Metazoa; Chordata; Aves; Passeriformes; Fringillidae. The record is from RNAcentral.